AGCUCCCUGGUUGAUCCUGCCAGUAGUUAUAUGCUUGUCUCAAAGAUUAAGCCAUGCAUGUCUCAGUGCAAGCCGUAUUAAGGCGAUACCGCGAAUGGCUCAAUAUAUCAGUUUUGGUUCCUUAGAUCUUACUCAGUUACUUGGAUAACUGUGGUAAUUCUAGAGCUAAUACAUGCAAUCAGAACUCUGACCAGUGAUGGGAUGAGUGCUUUUAUUAGAUCAAAACCAAUCGACGGAUGGCCAUGUGUCUGAAGUCGUUAAUUUUGAUGAAUCUGGAUAACUUUUGCCGAUCGCAUGGUCCAGUACCGGCGACGCAUCUUUCAAAUGUCUGCCUUAUCAACUUUCGAUGGUAGUUUCUGCGACUACCAUGGUUGUCACGGGUAACGGGGAAUCAGGGUUCGAUUCCGGAGAGGGAGCCUGAGAAACGGCUACCACAUCCAAGGAAGGCAGCAGGCGCGCAAAUUACCCACUCCCGGCACGGGGAGGUAGUGACGAAAAAUAACGAUACGGGACUCUUACGAGGCCUCGUAAUCGGAAUGAGUACACUUUAAAUAUUUUAACGAGGAACAAUUGG
This 574-nucleotide ribosomal RNA is filed under the name Trichoplusia ni (cabbage looper). RNAcentral's name for it is "SSU rRNA". It matches the Rfam family "Eukaryotic small subunit ribosomal RNA", at positions 1 to 551 of the family's 1831-position model. The record is from RNAcentral. Lineage: Eukaryota; Metazoa; Arthropoda; Insecta; Lepidoptera; Noctuidae.